GAUGAACGCUGGCGGCGUGCCUAAUACAUGCAAGUCGAGCGAACAGACCAUGAGCUUGCUCCGCUCACGUUAGCGGCGGACGGGUGAGAAACACGUGUAUAACCUACCUGUAAUACUGGGAUAACUUCGGGAAACCGGAUCUAAUACCGGAUAAUAUAUUGAACCGCAUUGUUGAAUGGUGAAAUUCGGUUUUUCUGGCACGUCUCGAUGCAUCCGGGCGGCAUUAGCUAGUUGUUAAGGUAACGGCUUUCCAAGGCAAGGAUGCGUAUCCGACCUGAGAGGGUGAUAGGCCACACUGGAAGUGGGCCGCGGACCAGAGUCCUACGGGAGGCCGCAGUAGGCAAUGUGACGCAAUGGGCGAAAGCAUGGCGGAGCAACGGGGAGUGAGUGAUGACAGUCUUGGGAGCGUAAAACUCUGUUAUUAGGGAAGAACAAAUGUGUCAGUAAAUAUGCACGUAUUGACGGUAACUAAUAAGAAAGCAACGGCUAACUACGUG
This 497-nucleotide ribosomal RNA is filed under the name uncultured bacterium. RNAcentral's name for it is "partial 16S ribosomal RNA". It matches the Rfam family "Bacterial small subunit ribosomal RNA", at positions 28 to 507 of the family's 1533-position model. The record is from RNAcentral.